GAUGAAGAACGCAGCGAAAUGCGAUACGUAAUGUGAAUUGCAGAAUUCAGUGAAUCAUCGAAUCUUUGAACGCAUAUUGCGCUCUCUGGUAUUCCGGAGAGCAUGCUUGUUUGAGUAUCAGUAAACACCUCAACUUCCAUAUCUUUUUUGAAAUGGGAGUUGGACUUGAGUGAUCCCAACGCUUUUCCUCACCGAAAAGUGGCGGGUUACUUGAAAUGCAGGUGCAGCUGGACUUUUCUCUGAGCUAUAAGCAUAUCUAUUUAGUCUGCCUAAAAACAGAUUAUUACCUUUGCUGCAGCUAACAUAAAGGAGAUUAGUUCUUGUGCUGACUGAUGCAGGAUUCACAAAGACAGGCUUCGGCCGACUUUGUAAACUCGAUCUCAAAUCAAGUAGGACUACCCGCUGAACUUAAGCAUAUCAAUAAGCGGAGGA
This 432-nucleotide unclassified non-coding RNA is filed under the name soil metagenome. RNAcentral describes it as "partial contains 5.8S ribosomal RNA, internal transcribed spacer 2, and large subunit ribosomal RNA". The stretch from base 1 to 120 matches the Rfam family "5.8S ribosomal RNA", at positions 35 to 154 of the family's 154-position model. The record is from RNAcentral.